UUGUUUUGGGGUUGGGAAUUCCGGAAUUUCCCAUGGGAAUUUUUCCCAAAUUUUGGGGAUUUUGGGAUUGGAGCUUUUUGUGCCUGAGGCUGAAAAUUUCGGGAUUCUCAUGGAAAAUUUUCCCAAAUUUUGGGGAUUUUGGGAUUGGAGCUCUUCACGCCUGGGGUUAGGAAUUCCGGGAUUCCCGAGGGAAUUUUCCCCAAUUUUGGAGAUUUUGGGGUUGCUUUGGGGCUGGGAAUUCCAGGAUUCCUGUGGGAAUUUUUCCCAAAUUUUGGGGAUUUUGGGAUCGGAGCUUUUCGUUCCUGAGGUUGGGAAUUCUGGGAUUCCCGUGGGAAUUUUUCCCAAACUUUGGGGAUUUUGGGAUCAGAGCUCUUUGUGUUUGGGUUGGGAAUUCCAGGAUUCCAGCAGGAAUUCUUCCCAAAUUUCGGGGGAUUUUGGGGUCGCUUUGGGGUUGGGAAUUCCGGGAUUCCCGUGGGAUUUUUUCCCAAAUUUCACCAAUUUCGGGCUCAGAGCUCCUCGUGGGCGUCGCCGUCACGCCGGGGUUGGGAAUUUUGGGAUUCCCACAGGAAUUCUUCCCCAUCCCAAAUUUCGGGGGGCUGCGGGGGGGUGUCGGUGUCGCUGUCGGGGUG
Taeniopygia guttata (zebra finch) is the source of this 629-nucleotide non-coding RNA. The record is from RefSeq and is a predicted model, not a curated record. Lineage: Eukaryota; Metazoa; Chordata; Aves; Passeriformes; Estrildidae.